RNAcentral lists this ribosomal RNA (897 nucleotides) under uncultured Gammaproteobacteria bacterium. RNAcentral's name for it is "bacterial SSU rRNA". It matches the Rfam family "Bacterial small subunit ribosomal RNA", at positions 8 to 896 of the family's 1533-position model. Lineage: Bacteria; Pseudomonadati; Pseudomonadota; Gammaproteobacteria. The record is from RNAcentral.
AGGGUUUGAUCCUGGCUCAGAUUGAACGCUGGCGGCAGGCUUAACACAUGCAAGUCGAGCGGAAACGAUGAUAGCUUGCUAUCAGGCGUCGAGCGGCGGACGGGUGAGUAAUACUUAGGAAUCUACCUAGUAGUGGGGGAUAGCUCGGGGAAACUCGAAUUAAUACCGCAUACGUCCUACGGGAGAAAGCAGGGGAUCAUUAGACCUUGCGCUAUUAGAUGAGCCUAAGUCGGAUUAGCUAGAUGGUGGGGUAAAGGCCUACCAUGGCGACGAUCUGUAGCUGGUCUGAGAGGAUGAUCAGCCACACCGGGACUGAGACACGGCCCGGACUCCUACGGGAGGCAGCAGUGGGGAAUAUUGGACAAUGGGGGGAACCCUGAUCCAGCCAUGCCGCGUGUGUGAAGAAGGCCUUUUGGUUGUAAAGCACUUUAAGCAGUGAAGAAGACUCUUCGGUUAAUACCCGGGGACGAUGACAUUAGCUGCAGAAUAAGCACCGGCUAACUCUGUGCCAGCAGCCGCGGUAAUACAGAGGGUGCAAGCGUUAAUCGGAAUUACUGGGCGUAAAGCGAGCGUAGGUGGCUUGAUAAGUCAGAUGUGAAAUCCCCGGGCUUAACCUGGGAACUGCAUCUGAAACUGUUAGGCUAGAGUAGGUGAGAGGGAAGUAGAAUUUCAGGUGUAGCGGUGAAAUGCGUAGAGAUCUGAAGGAAUACCGAUGGCGAAGGCAGCUUCCUGGCAUCAUACUGACACUGAGGCUCGAAAGCGUGGGUAGCAAACAGGAUUAGAUACCCUGGUAGUCCACGCCGUAAACGAUGUCUACUAGUCGUUGGGUCCCUUGAGGACUUAGUGACGCAGCUAACGCAAUAAGUAGACCGCCUGGGGAGUACGGCCGCAAGGUUA